CAGCCGCCGCGGGAAUACGUAGGUGGCAAGCGUUGUCCGGAAUUAUUGGGCGUAAAGCGAGCGCAGGCGGUUAGAUAAGUCUGAAGUUAAAGGCUGUGGCUUAACCAUAGUACGCUUUGGAAACUGUUUAACUUGGGUGCAAGAGGGGAGAGUGGAAUUCCAUGUGUAGCGGUGAAAUGCGUAGAUAUAUGGAGGAACACCGGUGGCGAAAGCGGCUCUCUGGCUUGUAACUGACGCUGAGGCUCGAAAGCUAGGGGAGCAAAUGGGAUUAGAUACCCCUGUAGUCCUUGUCUCUUAUACA
This 301-nucleotide ribosomal RNA is filed under the name uncultured bacterium. RNAcentral describes it as "partial 16S ribosomal RNA". It matches the Rfam family "Bacterial small subunit ribosomal RNA", at positions 509 to 808 of the family's 1533-position model. The record is from RNAcentral.